UUUAGAGUUUAGAAAUUGAAAUAAAAAAAAAGAAUUCAAAUUAAAAAGAAAAAAAGAUAAAGAUAAGUGGAUUGAAAGUGCUGAAAGCUCCAAUCAUCCCAUCAUCGUCAUUUUCUUUUCCUCUUUCUUCCCAGUUUCCUCAAUCACACACAAGUUCGGAAAAGAUAUUCACCCCUAAAGCAUCCCCUCCUCUUCUCAACCGGUGACCAGGCCUUCCCCCCUUCUUUCCUCCACCUCUCCAACCCUUAACUUCCCCGAUUGGAGCUCCGCUACUGUUUUUAAGAAGCUCAAGAUCUCGACUUUAACCUCGAAUAAAGGAAAAUGAAGAGACCCGAGCGGCGAUUGCCCGAUCCCCACCACCACUACCCAUGCGAGUUCAUCGGGUGGCCUCGGCCGUUGCCAACGACCUCGUCUCAAGCUGUUCCAGUCGACCUCCAGGCCACUGCCCUCCUUUCUCUCCCCCUUCUUAGUUUUUCUUUUUCUGGGAAAACUCUAAGACCGGUUUUUAUGGCGGUUCGAUUGGGUUCGAUGGGUUUUCAAAACAUUGCCCGGUUCUGAUAGAUUCAACCGGAUUUGACUUGCAAGAGAUGUCAAAGGUACGCAGCGCUCGGCAAUGAAAUUUGCCCGCGAAAAAACAGGUUUGUUUGAUUUCACAAUUGAAUUUUUAAGAUUUUAAUUUUAAAUUUAAUUCUAUUCACUACAUAAUAAAAAUUAAUUCUUUAAAGUCAAAAAGUAAACUCUAUAAGUAAAUUCACAUAUAAUUUUAUUAUACUUAAUUUAAUUUUUAAUACUAAAUUUUUUUAAUUAUUUAUUAUUUUUUUACAUUUUUUCUCAUAAUUCAACAACACAAUCAUUACAAUCCAAUUAAAAUUAAAAUUCAACUCUACUCAAUUCUAAAACCAAAUACACUUGAAUUUUCCGAAUUUUCUCUCUGACUCCCUGACCUAUUGCUCUUGCCCUCCCUAACACUUAUUUAUCUUCACACUCGGGAGGCAAUUGCGGUCGUUUCGACGAUUAUUCAAUCUCUCUCUCCCAUUUAUUUAUCUUCACACUCGAAGUCUCAAUUUGCUACGGCAACUGCAAGUAACAGGGUCCAAGUCUGUAUGGUAAUGCCGAUUUUGUACGUUCAAACUCUUCUUAUUAGUUCCUUUAAGCAUGCCACUUGCCCCACAGCUUCCUGAGUCAUCUAGAGCUGACCCUGCGCAUAGUGUUAUCGAACCCGGUAUGUAUUGCUCGUAUUAGUUCAAUGACUUAUAAAAGUAAUCCUUAUUUGCAUUUUUUUUUUUUGAUUUUUUUGUUCGAUAACUGAAGCAAAGAAGAGGAAAAGAGGGCCAACAACAUGCAAGGAUUUCUGGGGGCAACGUAAAGUUGUUCGAAUUCCUGUUCUUCUCAAUGAUAAGUUACAGCCAAUUUGUGCAACCGCAAAAAAGUCGGCUCGAUUUUUAGGGGCAAUGGUUAGAAAUGGGGCAUAUGCACCUCUCAAUUAUAAAGACUGGAGGCUCAUGCCUGAUCAUUUUAAAGUUAAUAUGUGGAAGAUGGUCCAGGAAAAGUUUGGUAUCGAUCCAUUAGCAGAAAGUUGGGUCAUGCAGUCGUUAACCAAAAAGUGGAGAGCCUUUAUCAAAAGGGGUGUAGCGUAGUGGCGUACGUCAUCGCCUCUUGAUUUAAAAAUCGAACGAGAGAAAGUGGGUAGCGAAAAUAGCAAGAAGAAGAAGUCAACACAUACUGCGGGAACAAAAGGUUUUGCAGUCAUACGAGAUGAAAUGCUAGAAGAUGCUAUUCGAAUUCAAGGAAAGGAUGAUCGACCCGCAGCAGAUGACAUCUUUGCUCGAACUUUGGGAGAAGAUAAGGGUUCAUAUGUGAGCACUUUAUGGGGUGCGAAACGGAGUCGGUUUUCUAUAAUGAAGAUCGCCUUUGAGAGCAAGAAACUAUCGGAAGAAAAAGUGCAUAUACUGGAGAAAGAAAUGAACCAAAUGAAAGUUAAGAUGCAUAUGCUGACAACAUUUAUUCAAACCAAGUGCCCACAUAUGAACUUAGAUCGUUUGGACGAAACGGCAAAUGAGGUUCGUGUAACUUUUACAACUCCAACUGGUCCACCACGAGCUGAUUACCAGUGCCAACCUCACUCGGAACAAAUCUUGAAUGAGGAGAACAACUUGAGUGGCUAUGUGGAUCCGGUUGGUGAUUCUCCAAAUCCUGUCCUUGAAGCGCUUGUUCCACUUGUGCGUCAAAAAGAGGAUCCGAAAUUUCUCAGUUCGUCCCACUUCUGUGACUCCUACUGAUUCACCACGAGCUGAUUUCUAGUGCCAACUUCAAUUGGAACAAAUCUUGAAUGGGGACGACAACCAUUUGAGUGGCUCUAUGGAUCAGGUUGAUGAUUCUCUAAAUCCUGCCCUUGAAGCACUAGCUCCCCUUGUACGAGCUUCUACGUCAAAGAAAAGAUCUGAAAGUGCUCAAUUGGAUGAGGGAAGUCGUGCAAUGAUCGAGAAGCUCCUUCCGCAGGUUGGCCAAUAUCAAGACAGCCAAUCCAAAACGGAUGGAGAUACUGUCUUCCUAAAUAGUCUUAUGCAUCAAGGCGAUCUUGUGGCGAGAGGGACAUUAAUCACUAAGGAUCCAUCAGCUACAGUGGCAAGUGUAUCUUUAGGGAAGGGCUUUUCAGCUACAGUGGAGAUGUGAUCGGAAAAACUAUUGCAUGGCCCUCUUCCUUUGUAACUUGCACUAAAUUGAUUUUAUAUGAGUUCCUUCAUUGACUUGUAUUAAUUUGCUUGGGGUUCAUUUCUUCGAGUUUUAUCAUCAAUUCUGGCUAAAUAGAAGUUGGCAAUUAUUCGUAUAUUUUUGUUCUUUAUGCAGGCUAAGAAAAUUUGAUGAGUUUUGAAUGUUACACCCGCAUGCCGUGGACAAGAAAUUUCGGAUGAGUCUAGCUUUCAAGAGAAGAGAAUAAGUAUUAGGCAAUAAAUAAAUCCGUCUUAUCUGUUUUCUUUCAUAAAUACAAUUAUGCAUUGGUGCAUUACUUUA
This is a non-coding RNA of Punica granatum (pomegranate), 3012 nucleotides long. The record is from RefSeq and is a predicted model, not a curated record. Lineage: Eukaryota; Viridiplantae; Streptophyta; Magnoliopsida; Myrtales; Lythraceae.